Molecule: ribosomal RNA, 427 nt
Filed under: uncultured bacterium
Lineage: Bacteria
Description: bacterial SSU rRNA
Rfam family: Bacterial small subunit ribosomal RNA
Source: RNAcentral
UGGGGAAUUUUGGACAAUGGGCGAAAGCCUGAUCCAGCAAUGCCGCGUGUGUGAAGAAGGCCUUCGGGUUGUAAAGCACUUUUGUCCGGAAAGAAAUCCUCUGGGUUAAUACCUCGGGGGGAUGACGGUACCGGAAGAAUAAGCACCGGCUAACUACGUGCCAGCAGCCGCGGUAAUACGUAGGGUGCAAGCGUUAAUCGGAAUUACUGGGCGUAAAGCGUGCGCAGGCGGUUUCGUAAGACGGAUGUGAAAUCCCCGGGCUUAACCUGGGAACUGCAUUCGUGACUGCAAGGCUAGAGUAUGGCAGAGGGGGGUAGAAUUCCACGUGUAGCAGUGAAAUGCGUAGAGAUGUGGAGGAAUACCGAUGGCGAAGGCAGCCCCCUGGGCCAAUACUGACGCUCAUGCACGAAAGCGUGGGGAGCAAACA